CAGCCAUUGGGUCUGAAAAGAUUGGAAGUAGAGAGAACCCAGAUUUUACAAGACAGAGCUGAAAAAUCUUACUAAGCGGAGAGAGACCUUCCUUACUUCCACCUUGUUUUGUCAGAAAGAACAAAAGGUAGUCUUCCAGAGCUUUGGAAAAUACAAAAAGGACAUCUGUCUACAGUAUGUGGAUGUGACUGACACACCAAUAUUCACCACUGUUACGUAAUUAGGAUAUGUUUUGUACAAAGUAUACUUUGUGAGGCAUCAUUCUAAAAGUCUUGAUCUGCUAGGUUAUGUUACGUUCUUAUGCUAGACAUGAAUAUCUCGCUGGAUUGUAUGUGCUAUCAUCGUAUGUGAAGUUAUGAAGUUGGGCUACGUAUGUGUUACUGAAACUCGUUGUGAGGCUGAAAACACCCACAAGCAGCCUUUCAGGUACAACAGUAAAAAGGCCAAACAAUGCUAAUGGCUUGUUGAGGAAAUGCACACAAGCACGAGGAUUACAAUAGAAACCUCUCGAAGAUAGCACUACACAAUGGGAACUGUUUGACCCAGCUCACAGCAAAAGAGCUUUCCAGCAAGUGGGGAGAAGAUAUAAAAGGGAUAAAAUGACAUCAUGAGGGGACCUCAUUCUCCCUACAACAACCCACCUGGAAACACCUGAGGAAUAAAGACUGAACAAGGGGGGGGAGGGGGAAGAGGAGGAGGGAGCAACGGUCAUAGGCUAAAAGGGAUUUCUAGCCUGCGUACGAAAACCUGGGAAACCCAAGCUGCAAAGCCAAGGCAGUUUGUGCCUUAAGAAUCUGACAGCCUGUUUAUCAAUCAGGGUGAGAAUUUGUUAAUUCACAUACUAUCUAUCUGGUAUGUUAAACUCAGUUUGCAGUUUUGUUUAUUUACUAGGUAAUCAUAUAUAACCACUUAAAAUGUAUCCAUUUGUAGUUAAUAAACUUAUUUUAUAUUUUAA
Non-coding RNA from Caretta caretta (loggerhead turtle), 955 nucleotides. Lineage: Eukaryota; Metazoa; Chordata; Testudines; Cheloniidae. The record is from RefSeq and is a predicted model, not a curated record.